GAUUAUGGCUCAGGAUGAACGCUAGCGACAGGCUUAACACAUGCAAGUCGAGGGGCAGCGGGGAGUGGCGACACUCUGCCGGCGACCGGCACACGGGUGCGUAACACGUGUGCAAUCUGCCCGUCACCGGGGGAUAACCCGUGGAAACGCGGACUAAAACCCCAUGAGACGAGAAUGGCGCAUGCCAUGAACGUUAAAACCGAGGUGGUGACGGAUGGGCACGCGGGACAUUAGGUAGUUGGCGGGGUAACGG
RNAcentral lists this ribosomal RNA (253 nucleotides) under uncultured bacterium. Its description in RNAcentral is "partial 16S ribosomal RNA". It matches the Rfam family "Bacterial small subunit ribosomal RNA", at positions 15 to 263 of the family's 1533-position model. The record is from RNAcentral.